RNAcentral lists this ribosomal RNA (671 nucleotides) under Celeribacter halophilus. RNAcentral's name for it is "bacterial SSU rRNA". It matches the Rfam family "Bacterial small subunit ribosomal RNA", at positions 228 to 917 of the family's 1533-position model. The record is from RNAcentral. Lineage: Bacteria; Pseudomonadati; Pseudomonadota; Alphaproteobacteria; Rhodobacterales; Roseobacteraceae.
GGCCCGCGUUAGAUUAGUUAGUUGGUGGGGUAAUGGCCUACCAAGACUACGAUCUAUAGCUGGUUUGAGAGGAUGAUCAGCAACACUGGGACUGAGACACGGCCCAGACUCCUACGGGAGGCAGCAGUGGGGAAUCUUAGACAAUGGGGGCAACCCUGAUCUAGCGAUGCCGCGUGAGUGAUGAAGGCCUUAGGGUCGUAAAGCUCUUUCGCCUGUGAUGAUAAUGACAGUAGCAGGUAAAGAAACCCCGGCUAACUCCGUGCCAGCAGCCGCGGUAAUACGGAGGGGGUUAGCGUUGUUCGGAAUUACUGGGCGUAAAGCGCACGUAGGCGGAUUAGUCAGUCAGAGGUGAAAUCCCAGGGCUCAACCCUGGAACUGCCUUUGAUACUGCUAGUCUUGAGUUCGAGAGAGGUAAGUGGAAUUCCGAGUGUAGAGGUGAAAUUCGUAGAUAUUCGGAGGAACACCAGUGGCGAAGGCGGCUUACUGGCUCGAUACUGACGCUGAGGUGCGAAAGUGUGGGGAGCAAACAGGAUUAGAUACCCUGGUAGUCCACACCGUAAACGAUGAAUGCCAGUCGUCGGGUAGCAUGCUAUUCGGUGACACACCUAACGGAUUAAGCAUUCCGCCUGGGGAGUACGGUCGCAAGAUUAAAACUCAAAGGAAUUGACGGG